UUGUGAACAAGUUUGAAAUUUUAUUCAGAUCUGAGGCCUUAUUAUAAACAAAAGUUCAAAAAUAUUAUCAUUAUAUUCACAAUUCUUUCAAAUUUAGCAAGAACCACAUAUAAUCAGUGACACAACCGGUAGAGUUAGAGGAAUAUAGUCAUUUCUUUGAAAAAAAACAAAGUAUUCUGAAAUGAUAGCGUGAUGCAGUCAGGGGUAAAGUAAGGUCUUCUCAAAGAACGGCAUUCUGAAAAGCUGAAAACGAUUAAUAAAUGAUAAAGUCUCACAAUCCAAUCGGCAUCAGAACUAUUGACAAUGUGAGAUCCUAAAGCGGCCUCACUCUUAAAAGUAAGAAAAACUUUACAGGGAGCAACUUUCUUUCGUAAAAGACAGCCAUUUUUCCCCAGGAGUUUUGAUAAGACCAAACUUGACACAAAGCACUAAGCUACACUUUCUGUCAGACAUUUCCAGCAGCAAUACUUGGUUGGUUUAACAGAAAAUUCCACUGAUGUACAGCAGGAUUCAUGGUGUCCCACAAGGCUUAGAAUGGAAAGGAAAUGGGACAGAGGAGAGCUUGCAGUUUGUUUUUUUCUUAAAGUGGAGCCAAAAUGUCACCGUAAUUUGGCGAUUUCAACCAUUCUGCCUUAUCAUUACCAGUGACCGUGCACAAAGUCCAAAAAACGUUCUGACCUGGCUGAUAAAUAUCUUUUGCUCUCUGUGCCACCUGUGGUCUGAGUAAACCAUCGCACUAAAGCAAGGUUUUUAAGGCGGCUCCGUCGCAGUAAUGACCGGCCUCAUCCUGCUCAAGUCUCCUUUAAUAUUCCUGAGAGCCACAUGGCCAGCAGUUGGUAGUGUAUACUUUGGACUGAUAUAGUGAUUCUAAAUGAGAAUGAGUUGGUGCUGAGGCCAAACAGCGACUUAACAACAACCUUGUAGCCUCCUGAAGGAGUCAGACAAGACAGGUGACCUAUUUUACCUGCUGAUACGCAACUACAAGAAGUCAUUUUGGAUAUCUCUCCUAACAGGGAGGCCAGUGGCUUCUUACUGGGCAGCGACAGGAACCGACCUGAAGCAAUUAACGAGUGAACGGCUCAACUCUUUCUCCUUAAAAAUGGCAUUUGACCACCUCCAUCGAACCAUAGAGAUGUGGUUCAAUGACUACUAGAAUAGUUUCCAUGUUUUUCCAACAGCAGCUGCAUAGGCAAAGACUAACCCGUCUAUUCUCUGAUGCAAACCCAGACAUGUUGUUCUAUAAGCAUGCCUGAAAUAUACAGAAACUACUCUUCAGGGGACCUUUCAACAGGGUAAAGAGUUAAGAAAGUAUGUCAGACUCUCCACUACAUCAGAAAAGGUGAUACAGGAAAACCAAUUUUUCUUAAAAUCGAGACUUUUCCCCUGUGCGUAUUUACUGCAGUAUAUCUCUCACACCAAUCUUUAGCUCUAACCGUUGACCUAUUGUUCACUGGAUAGACUAGCAAUCAACAUUUUUAUCCUGGCAAAAACAAGUAUUUAAGAAUAAAUUACCAUCUCAGUUUUAUCCUCCCACAGACAAAAAAUGCAGAGCCUGGUACUAUAAUACAUUUUGAGCAGUGUCUCACUUACGUUCUGUUCUCCCAGUCAGUCUAAUAAGGCAUGGCAGGGAAUGAGAGGCCUGCCACACCGAGAGAACUAUAUACAACCAAGGAGAGUGGGGGAGACUGUGUCUGCUUUAAUGGGGAGUUUCAGCCUGCUGACUGAGACUCGUACCAAGUAAGCCUGCACUGGCUGGUUUAUUGGGCUAACAUAAGCUGACAGAACACCUGAUUGCAGAUGCUUG
Molecule: long non-coding RNA, 1804 nt
Organism: Astatotilapia calliptera (eastern happy)
Lineage: Eukaryota; Metazoa; Chordata; Actinopteri; Cichliformes; Cichlidae
Source: Ensembl